CCUACGGGUGGCAGCAGUGAGGAAUAUUGGUCAAUGGACGCGAGUCUGAACCAGCCAAGUAGCGUGAAGGAUGACUGCCCUAUGGGUUGUAAACUUCUUUUAUAUGGGGAUAAAACGUUCCACGUGUGGGAUUUUGUAUGUACCAUAUGAAUAAGGAUCGGCUAACUCCGUGCCAGCAGCCGCGGUAAUACGGAGGAUCCGAGCGUUAUCCGGAUUUAUUGGGUUUAAAGGGAGCGUAGGUGGAUUGUUAAGUGAGUUGUGAAAGUUUGCGGCUCAACCGUAAAAUUGCAGUUGAAACUGGCAGUCUUGAGUACAGUAGAGGUGGGCGGAAUUCGUGGUGUAGCGGUGAAAUGCUUAGAUAUCACGAAGAACUCCGAUUGCGAAGGCAGUUCACUGGACUGCAACUGACACUGAGGCUCGAAAGUGUGGGUAUCAAACAGGAUUAGAUACCCGAGUAGUC
Molecule: ribosomal RNA, 460 nt
Filed under: uncultured bacterium
Lineage: Bacteria
Description: partial 16S ribosomal RNA
Rfam family: Bacterial small subunit ribosomal RNA
Source: RNAcentral